RNAcentral lists this long non-coding RNA (1626 nucleotides) under Pan paniscus (pygmy chimpanzee). RNAcentral describes it as "lncRNA (ENSPPAG00000045110.1)". The record is from RNAcentral. Lineage: Eukaryota; Metazoa; Chordata; Mammalia; Primates; Hominidae.
UUGAUGGAGGAGGAGGACGCAGCCCGUCCCCUGGGUAGUUGAUGGAGGAGGGCGCAGUACGGUUGCUGAUCCCGUUAACUGUUUCAGGGGGUGUUUUAACGUCACGGAAUGAGAUCAAAUGUCCACCUCGCAGGUUGUGUAGAGAUGCAAGCAGGAGACUCUUGAGUGAGUGUUCUGGGGCCUGCGGAUAUACUGGGUGAGGGGAGUGCUGGUGCUGAGUUGGGCCAAGAGCCCGUGGGCGUGGGCUGUGCACCGGGUGAGGGGCUGAGGCGUGUCCGCAGCAGUACCUGGUGGUCGACCCCUUCUCCUGGCUGUGUGGUUGCCUGCCCUGCCUCUGCCUCUCAGAAUGUGAGUCUUCCGGGCUCCAGGGACAGGGUUGCCUGUGGACGGCACCUGUGCCUCUCCACGUCUGAGCUCUCAGGCGUCUGGGGUGCGCGGCUGCCCUUUUCCCCAGGUCCGUGCCAGGUGUGGUGGGGUCAGUGGUGUGGCUCAUGGGAAUCGGGAGUGGAUCCUCGCUGGGCUCUCAGGCGCCUCGGGCACGUAGCUGCCCUUGUCCCCAGGCCCCUGCUCGGUGUGGUGGGGGCUCAGUGGCGCAGAGCAGCCACCCAGAGUGGGGUCCGUGGCAGCAUGGUGUGGCCUCCUGGGUGGAGGUGGCCCCUGCAGUGGAGUACGUGUGUGGUCCCCCGCAGGGAUUGCAGUGUGUCCUCUCCCAGCUGGGAUCAGGUGGCCUCAGCACCGUCGGCCCUAGAGAGGCCCCGUGUAUUGUCCGGGUGAAGAAGGCGUUCGAUGCUCCCAGGUUCUAACUGAGCGCUGUCUGUCGACUCUUCAGGUUCAGACGCGGAAAGAAGAGCCUCUGCCCCCGGCUACGAGCCAAAGCAUUCCGACCUUCUACUUCCCCAGAGGACGCCCGCAGGACUCCGUCAACGUGGAUGCCGUCAUCAGCAAGAUCGAGAGCACCUUCGCCCGGUUCCCCCACGAGAGGGCCACCAUGGACGACAUGGGCCUGGUGGCCAAGGUUCAGACGCGGAAAGAAGAGCCUCUGCCCCCGGCCACGAGCCAAAGCAUUCCGACCUUCUACUUCCCCAGAGGACACCCGCAGGACUCCAUCAACGUGGAUGCCGUCAUCAGCAAGAUCGAGAGCACCUUCGCCCGGUUCCCCCACGAGAGGGCCACCAUGGACGACAUGGGCCUGGUGCACAAGGACGUGGUGAACACGCACCCGGGGCUGUCGUUCCUGAAGGAGGCGUCCGAGUUUCACUCGCGCUACAUCACCACGGUGGGUCCCCAGCGGAGAGGCCGUCGGUUCCAGCGCGGGGCGCGGGUGUUUCUGCAGCGGUCGCCGCGGGGCUUCUGCGGAGCGGGGCGGGCGGGGCCCGGGGGUCCUGAUCUUCCGGAGGAGGCGGCCGCGCCCUGGGAGAGUCUCCGCCCGCCCGGGAGCCCAGUGUUGGGGGGACUCUGGUUUUCGGGGUGGCCGCGCCCCUUUCCCACCUGUCCUGGGCCCGUGUAGCUCCGGGGCGUCCCCGGCCAGACCCUCCCCGCUUUCCGCGGCCUGGGGUGGCGCCUCCCGCAGGGCCCUUCCCGCUGCCCCCGCCUGUGCCCUGGCGGGCCCCGUGCGGCUGAGACCAA